This 401-nucleotide long non-coding RNA is filed under the name Rattus norvegicus (Norway rat). RNAcentral describes it as "long non-coding RNA NONRATT032426". Lineage: Eukaryota; Metazoa; Chordata; Mammalia; Rodentia; Muridae. The record is from RNAcentral.
CUUGGAAAGGACUCCAGAAGAUGCGUCUUGUCUUACUGAUCUGCCUCCUGACAGGAACCACUGGGAAAAGCUGCCUCCGCUGCUGGCCAGAGCUGUUCCCCCUGAUAGACUAUGACCUGCAGGUGCUCUGGGGCAGCCCAGGGCCCCCCACAGAACUCUCACAAAGCAUACACUCCUUUUUCAUGGAGAAUAACACCUUACUCUUGCCCUGGCAUCUUGCUCAAGACAAUUUGGAUGAGGAAACAGCUACAUUCUUCACCCACGUAGACAACGCCAUUAAAAAGCUGAAGGAUGAUAAGCCAGCACUGCUUGAAGAGAUUCGUAUUCAGAAGAUCUCCCUGGCUAAGAGGCUGAAGGAGAGGUCCGAGGACCUGAUGCAGAAGGCUCUGCCGCCUCUCUAG